This 451-nucleotide ribosomal RNA is filed under the name uncultured bacterium. Its description in RNAcentral is "bacterial SSU rRNA". It matches the Rfam family "Bacterial small subunit ribosomal RNA", at positions 354 to 796 of the family's 1533-position model. The record is from RNAcentral.
GUGGGGAAUUUUGCGCAAUGGGGGAAACCCUGACGCAGCAACGCCGCGUGAGUGAUGAAGGCCUUCGGGUCGUAAAGCUCUUUUAGUGGGGAAGAAGCCCACCCGGGCCAAUACCUCGGGUGUCUGACGGUACCCACAGAAAAAGUUCCGGCUAACUACGUGCCAGCAGCCGCGGUAAUACGUAGGGAGCAAGCGUUGUUCGGAAUUAUUGGGCGUAAAGAGCGCGUAGGCGGUUCGGUAAGUCUGACGUGAAAUCCCGGAGCUCAACUCCGGAACUGCGUUGGAUACUGCCGGGCUUGAGUGUGGGAGAGGAGAGUGGAAUUCCCAGUGUAGAGGUGAAAUUCGUAGAUAUUGGGAGGAACACCCGUGGCGAAGGCGGCUCUCUGGACCACAACUGACGCUGAGGCGCGAAAGCUAGGGUAGCAAACGGGAUUAGAUACCCCGGUAGUCC